AUCGCUUCUCGGCCUAAUGGCUAAGAUCAAGUGUCGUAUCUGUUCUUAUGUCGGCUUCGGACCAUCUCAUAAUUGGUUACGGUGUUGUUAGAAAGCAGAAGCAGCACAAGUUCGAAACCGUGACAGUCGAUCGAGGUUCUUCGCGUAGUCGCUUUUUCAGUGUCUCCUUCUACGUCCAGAAAUCUCAAGGCGAUCUGUC
Molecule: small nuclear RNA, 199 nt
Organism: Hydra vulgaris (swiftwater hydra)
Lineage: Eukaryota; Metazoa; Cnidaria; Hydrozoa; Anthoathecata; Hydridae
Product: U2 spliceosomal RNA
Source: RefSeq, a predicted model, not a curated record